RNAcentral lists this ribosomal RNA (95 nucleotides) under uncultured bacterium. RNAcentral's name for it is "partial 16S ribosomal RNA". It matches the Rfam family "Bacterial small subunit ribosomal RNA", at positions 1388 to 1482 of the family's 1533-position model. The record is from RNAcentral.
CACCGCCCGUCACGCCAUGAAAGUGGGUUAUACCAGAAGCCGGUGCGCUAACCGCAAGGAAGCAGCCGUUCAAGGUAUGGCUCAUGAUUGGGGCG